AGGUAGAAGAAGUCUCGCCUCUGCCGCCGCCGGCUCCUCUCCUCCCGGCUCUCCUCCUCCUCCUGUUCCGGCUCCUCUUCCUCCUUCCUCUCCAUGCCCUCACACACCUGAUUAUUACUCUCUCGCUCUCUCUCCCCCUCCUCUCUCUCUUUUCUUCUUGAAUUACUGCGGAGACCAAUUAACGGGAGAUUUGUUUAAAUCUGCCUCACCGGGGCUCGCCUCGGCCGCCAUGAAAUCUCAUAAAAACAGGAGAAACUCUCAUCCAUCAGCCGGGAGGUGAGAGUCAGGAGCUGGAGCUGUUAGAGACGCGGGUUCGAGCUCAGCCAUGCAGGGCCUGCUCUGGACAGGAGCUUUGCAGGGACAAACAGAGCAGCUUUGGAAACCUUUCACCUGUUAGAGACUGAGUGUUUAACUUUGAGUUUAGUAGAGCAGACUCUCUUCUCCUCCUCUUCUCCUCUCAUUCCUCCUCUCCCAGUUUCUCCUGUUUUCUUUGGAGGACUGCUGGAAUGGAGCUCAGCGCCAUUUUUCAUGUCAGCACUCAGUGUCUCUGUCUUUGCUCAAAUCCUUCAACGUGAAUUCUUCUUACUGUGCAGGAAAACAACAUGCAGACAUUUGGGGGAGUUUCCCUCCUUCUUUGAAAAACUCUCUUAUAUUUAUUAUUUCUAAUGUUUUCUUCAUUCACGUCCUCAGUUUGUGUUUCAGUCUGAGCAGGAAAAUCUGACUAAAGGACAUUUGGAGCUUUGAGAGGUUUGCAUGGAGUCAGAUAAUUUCAUGAGAGUGUGUGUGUGUGUGUGUGUGUGUGUGUGUGUGUGUGUGUGUGUGUGUGUGUGUGUGUGUGUGUGUGUGCUGCAGGUUUGGUGUGGAGUCAGCAGGUAACAUGAGCAAAGUGCAAGAAAAGGAGUCAGAGGAGUCAAAGAUGGAUCAGAUAUAUUUUUAUUUAAACACAAAAACAAACAUUUAUUCUGCAGGACAAUUACAAUAAUAAUCAUAAUAAUAAUAAUAAUAAUAAUAAAUAAGAACUGGGUGGGUUAGUUCACCGGAAUCAUUUCCCAAUCCCAUUUCCUUGGCUGAGUUCGUCUCCUCCUCUCUCUCUCUGUCUCCCCCCUCGGCCAUCUCUACCUGUGUAAACCUCAGUGUAACCAAAUUACCGCGUCCCCUCGUCCUCCCAUCACGUAAUAACAGCAGCAGCAGCUCUUCUCUAAAUGUGUAUUCUCUCUGUCCGCCGCCGUGUCACAAACAAUAUCCCGCCUCAUUUCUGCGGACGGAGACAGAGAGGGGGAGUGACAGCCUCUCCUUCCGCCUUUUUUCAUAUAUAUUUAAAUAUUUUUCCCCCUCUGCCUAUCUCGACCUCAUAUCUGAUUUGUGUGACAGGGGAAGAGCUGGAAACACAUUUCCUCACGCCUCUGCGGGCGCCUGCAGGCACAGGAGGAGUGUUUUCUGCUCCGAGAGGCGAAAGUUAAAAGAGGAGAGCUCAGCUGACUCCAAAAAUUAGUCAAAGAAUAAAAUAGUCCUCCGUCAGCCCCGUGAAGGGAGCAGGCGGAGGUUUAUCUUAUCUUAUCCAGGCAUGUGUCCACGGCUGAGUGUGUUUGUGUGGGAGAUAGUUCCACAUCAAACCGGCUGAAAUAGUUCAAAUAUUUGGAUCGGUGUUGAGAAAUGAUAUCAGGCUCAGUUUGACAUCCAUUAAAGCUGCAGGAGGGAGGGCAGGAGGCCUCUGCCUGCAUCCAAACAACACACAGAUCUACUCCUAACACUCCUACUGCUGCUGCUGCUUCACUCUUCUCUCUGCUCCUCAGAUUAAAAGCCUCCUCAGUCCCAGAAAAGGUGCGUUAAUGUGUGACUUUAGGCUCAGCAGCUCCUCUCAGACUCUUGGAGUCAAAUUAAUGUUUAGCUGCAGAACAAAAGCAGCUUCAUGAGGAAACGGUCCUGACCCACAAUCAGACUUUCUCACUUUAAACAGAUCUGUGGACUAUCAGAGCAAAGGCUGCUAAAGACAAUUCUCCUUUAAUAUUUUCCCACUUAAGUUUUUUCUUCUACUAAAUUUAACUCUAAAAUAAACCACCAUGCUCCUUUAAAUCUAAAUGUAUUAUCAGUUUUAUUUUUACCCGUUUCAGUUGUCAGCAGAAAUGUAGAAAAACGUGUCUUUAACGGAUUAAAUCUCGCGCGUAAAAACUCACCGAAAUGAAACAUCUCUGUGUCUGAAACCUCCGUUUAUUAUCUCACUGCAAACCCACGCGUCUGAAGCAAACAGGCACGCGGACAAGACUCCACACGAGUCGCAUCUUCCCACUCACUACAUACAACGACUGGCAGCCAUAUUGUCUUCUCCUCUG
Molecule: long non-coding RNA, 2330 nt
Filed under: Xyrichtys novacula (pearly razorfish)
Lineage: Eukaryota; Metazoa; Chordata; Actinopteri; Labriformes; Labridae
Source: RNAcentral